UGAGCUUGAUCCUGGCUCAGGACGAACGCUGGCGGCGUGCCUAAUACAUGCAAGUCGAGCGCAGGAAGCCGGCGGAUCCCUUCGGGGUGAAGCCGGUGGAAUGAGCGGCGGACGGGUGAGUAACACGUGGGCAACCUACCUUGUAGACUGGGAUAACUCCGGGAAACCGGGGCUAAUACCGGAUGAUCAUUUGGAUCGCAUGAUCCGAAUGUAAAAGUGGGGAUUUAUCCUCACACUGCAAGAUGGGCCCGCGGCGCAUUAGCUAGUUGGUAAGGUAAUGGCUUACCAAGGCGACGAUGCGUAGCCGACCUGAGAGGGUGAUCGGCCACACUGGAACUGAGACACGGUCCAGACUCCUACGGGAGGCAGCAGUAGGGAAUCAUCCGCAAUGGGCGAAAGCCUGACGGUGCAACGCCGCGUGAACGAUGAAGGUUUUCGGAUCGUAAAGUUCUGUUAUGAGGGAAGAACAAGUGCCGUUCGAAUAGGUCGGCACCUUGACGUACC
This 504-nucleotide ribosomal RNA is filed under the name Bacillus sp. M10-C22. Its description in RNAcentral is "bacterial SSU rRNA". It matches the Rfam family "Bacterial small subunit ribosomal RNA", at positions 1 to 479 of the family's 1533-position model. Lineage: Bacteria; Bacillati; Bacillota; Bacilli; Caryophanales; Bacillaceae. The record is from RNAcentral.